Molecule: ribosomal RNA, 275 nt
Filed under: uncultured bacterium
Lineage: Bacteria
Description: partial 16S ribosomal RNA
Rfam family: Bacterial small subunit ribosomal RNA
Source: RNAcentral
CCUACGGGCGGCUGCAGUGGGGAAUAUUGCGCAAUGGGCGAAAGCCUGACGCAGCAACGCCGUGUGGGUGAUGACGGUCUUCGGAUUGUAAAGCCCUGUUGAGGGGGACGAGCAAGGACGGUACCCCUCGAGGAAGCACCGGCUAACUCCGUGCCAGCAGCCGCGGUAAUACGGAGGGUGCAAACGUUGUUCGGAAUCAUUGGGCGUAAAGCGCACGCAGGCGGUUUAUCAGGUCGGAUGUGAAAUGCCGGGGCUCAACCCCGGAACUGCGUUCG